RNAcentral lists this ribosomal RNA (439 nucleotides) under uncultured bacterium. Its description in RNAcentral is "partial 16S ribosomal RNA". It matches the Rfam family "Bacterial small subunit ribosomal RNA", at positions 339 to 795 of the family's 1533-position model. The record is from RNAcentral.
CUACGGGGCGCUCCAGUGGGGAAUAUUGGACAAUGGGCGCAAGCUUGAUCCAGCCAUGCCGCGUGAGUGAUGAAGGCCCUAGGGUUGUAAAGCUCUUUCACCGGUGAAGAUAAUGACGGUAACCGGAGAAGAAGCCCCGGCUAACUUCGUGCCAGCAGCCGCGGUAAUACGAAGGGGGCUAGCGUUGUUCGGAUUUACUGGGCGUAAAGCGCACGUAGGCGGACUAUUAAGUCAGGGGUGAAAUCCCGGGGCUCAACCCCGGAACUGCCUUUGAUACUGGUAGUCUUGAGUUCGAGAGAGGUGAGUGGAAUUCCGAGUGUAGAGGUGAAAUUCGUAGAUAUUCGGAGGAACACCAGUGGCGAAGGCGGCUCACUGGCUCGAUACUGACGCUGAAGUGCGAAAGCGUGGGGAGCAAACAGGAUUAGAUACCCGAGUAGUC